Molecule: ribosomal RNA, 373 nt
Filed under: uncultured organism
Description: bacterial SSU rRNA
Rfam family: Bacterial small subunit ribosomal RNA
Source: RNAcentral
CGGGGGGAGCAAGCGUUGUUCGGAUUUACUGGGCGUAAAGGGCGCGUAGGCGGCCACCGCAAGUCGACUGUGAAAUCUCCGGGCUUAACCCGGAAAGGUCAGCCGAUACUGCGGGGCUAGAGUGCAGAAGGGGCAACUGGAAUUCUCGGUGUAGCGGUGAAAUGCGUAGAUAUCGAGAGGAACACCUGCGGCGAAGGCGGGUUGCUGGGCUGACACUGACGCUGAGGCGCGAAAGCUAGGGGAGCGAACGGGAUUAGAUACCCCGGUAGUCCUAGCCUUAAACGAUGAAUGCUUGGUGUCCGGGGUUUUAUAGUCCCGGGUGCCGUCGCUAACGCUUUAAGCAUUCCGCCUGGGGAGUACGGUCGCAAGACUG